AAACGAGAUGACUGGCUCCCUAACAUGGUGAAUGCUUUGGGAGCCAGUGCAAACGCAACAGUUUUGUAAGGCAUACCACAAGUUGCCCCACAGGUCUGUUGCGUGUGCUUUUAUUUGAUGAAUUCUAACUGAAUUGGUAGCACAUGAACGCCAUAAUAACGAACCGGUUACAACAUAAGCUAGGAUAUACCUUUAAAC
Non-coding RNA from Xenorhabdus doucetiae, 198 nucleotides. The record is from Rfam. NCBI's taxonomy places the organism in Bacteria, Pseudomonadati, Pseudomonadota, Gammaproteobacteria, Enterobacterales, Morganellaceae.